GGGUCGGUAGUUUAAAGGAUAGAAUAAACGGUUUCGGCCCGUUUGAUGGGGGUUCAAUUCCUCCCCGACCCA
Molecule: transfer RNA, 72 nt
Filed under: Candidatus Pacearchaeota archaeon
Lineage: Archaea; Nanobdellati
Description: tRNA-Arg
Rfam family: tRNA
About the family: Transfer RNA (tRNA) molecules are approximately 80 nucleotides in length. Their secondary structure includes four short double-helical elements and three loops (D, anti-codon, and T loops).
Source: RNAcentral